RNAcentral lists this ribosomal RNA (1101 nucleotides) under Vibrio sp. 847M. RNAcentral describes it as "bacterial SSU rRNA". It matches the Rfam family "Bacterial small subunit ribosomal RNA", at positions 383 to 1479 of the family's 1533-position model. The record is from RNAcentral. Lineage: Bacteria; Pseudomonadati; Pseudomonadota; Gammaproteobacteria; Vibrionales; Vibrionaceae.
CUGAUGCGCCAUGCCGCGUGUAUGAAGAAGGCCUUCGGGUUGUAAAGUACUUUCAGUUGUGAGGAAGGGGGUGUCGUUAAUAGCGGCAUCUCUUGACGUUAGCAACAGAAGAAGCACCGGCUAACUCCGUGCCAGCAGCCGCGGUAAUACGGAGGGUGCGAGCGUUAAUCGGAAUUACUGGGCGUAAAGCGCAUGCAGGUGGUUCAUUAAGUCAGAUGUGAAAGCCCGGGGCUCAACCUCGGAACUGCAUUUGAAACUGGUGAACUAGAGUACUGUAGAGGGGGGUAGAAUUUCAGGUGUAGCGGUGAAAUGCGUAGAGAUCUGAAGGAAUACCAGUGGCGAAGGCGGCCCCCUGGACAGAUACUGACACUCAGAUGCGAAAGCGUGGGGAGCAAACAGGAUUAGAUACCCUGGUAGUCCACGCCGUAAACGAUGUCUACUUGGAGGUUGUGGCCUUGAGCCGUGGCUUUCGGAGCUAACGCGUUAAGUAGACCGCCUGGGGAGUACGGUCGCAAGAUUAAAACUCAAAUGAAUUGACGGGGGCCCGCACAAGCGGUGGAGCAUGUGGUUUAAUUCGAUGCAACGCGAAGAACCUUACCUACUCUUGACAUCCAGAGAAGCCAGCGGAGACGCAGGUGUGCCUUCGGGAGCUCUGAGACAGGUGCUGCAUGGCUGUCGUCAGCUCGUGUUGUGAAAUGUUGGGUUAAGUCCCGCAACGAGCGCAACCCUUAUCCUUGUUUGCCAGCGAGUAAUGUCGGGAACUCCAGGGAGACUGCCGGUGAUAAACCGGAGGAAGGUGGGGACGACGUCAAGUCAUCAUGGCCCUUACGAGUAGGGCUACACACGUGCUACAAUGGCGCAUACAGAGGGCAGCGAACUUGCGAGAGUGAGCGAAUCCCAAAAAGUGCGUCGUAGUCCGGAUUGGAGUCUGCAACUCGACUCCAUGAAGUCGGAAUCGCUAGUAAUCGUAGAUCAGAAUGCUACGGUGAAUACGUUCCCGGGCCUUGUACACACCGCCCGUCACACCAUGGGAGUGGGCUGCAAAAGAAGUGGGUAGUUUAACCUUUCGGAGGAGACUCUCACUUUGUGGUCUUGAGUGGG